AUACGUAGGUGGCAAGCGUUGUCCGGAAUUAUUGGGCGUAAAGCGCGCGCAGGUGGUUCCUUAAGUCUGAUGUGAAAGCCCCCGGCUCAACCGGGGAGGGUCAUUGGAAACUGGGGAACUUGAGUGCAGAAGAGGAUAGUGGAAUUCCAAGUGUAGCGGUGAAAUGCGUAGAGAUUUGGAGGAACACCAGUGGCGAAGGCGACUGUCUGGUCUGUAACUGACACGGAGGCGCGAAAGCGUGGGGAGCAAACAGGAUUAGAUACCCUGGUAGUCCACGCCGUAAACGAUGAGUGCUAAGUGUUGGGGGGUUUCCGCCCCUCAGUGCUGCAGCUAGCGCAUUAAGCACUCCGCCUGGGGAGUACGGUCGCAAGACUGAAACUCAAAUGAAUUGACGGGG
Molecule: ribosomal RNA, 397 nt
Filed under: uncultured bacterium
Lineage: Bacteria
Description: partial 16S ribosomal RNA
Rfam family: Bacterial small subunit ribosomal RNA
Source: RNAcentral